RNAcentral lists this transfer RNA (88 nucleotides) under bacterium. RNAcentral describes it as "tRNA-Ser". It matches the Rfam family "tRNA". Rfam says of the family: Transfer RNA (tRNA) molecules are approximately 80 nucleotides in length. Their secondary structure includes four short double-helical elements and three loops (D, anti-codon, and T loops). The record is from RNAcentral. RNAcentral also lists the same sequence under 4 other names.
GGAGGCGUGGCAGAGCGGUCGAAUGCGGCGGUCUCGAAAACCGUUGUGUGCCUUUGGUGCACCGGGGGUUCGAAUCCUCCCGCCUCCG